AGUACCCAUAUACUGUACUUUACGGAAGAGUGAACCCUUUGUGAAUUACUAAGAAGUAGCCUUCGGUAUGACAUUAGAGCUACUAUAUAAACGUAGUCGCGCGCAUCAGGGGGAUGCAACAUUGCACCUGCCACACAUCUAUACCGUCUGGUGCUCCAAUACAAAUGCACAUACUGAAGUAUAUCAAAAUUUAUCAUGCAUGUCACUUUUUCCACGCGACCAACAGAAAACACGAUUUUAUACGUGUGGACGAUGGUAUAUGUAGUAUAUCGUGCGUACGGUAAGUGUGCACAUUGCGUGUAUGUGUGUAUAUAUAUAUAUGUACGUGCUAUGUAUCUAUGUAUGUAUGUAUGUACUAUGUACGUAUAUAUGAUGUACGUUGGGUGUAUGGACGUAUAAUAUGUGCGUGUGUGUGUCGAAGAACAACGAGAGAGGACGUAUGUUUUCUGAAUGGGCGUAAUAAAUUAAUCUACGUCUUGCUGAUGUGUCCGAGGUUAACGCGUAUUGUUUCUUUUCAAUGAUUGUUACGAAAUUAUCGAUAUUCUAGAUUAGAGGCAGGGGAGGGGGUGGUGGAAACGAAUAGACGAAACGGUCUCGAAAAGGUGAUUUCAAUGAUACAUGCCAUGAAUCUAUGGCGAUAAUGUGCAAAGGUUCGUAUUCUUUUAAUGUUUCACACGAGACUUUGUAAAGGCCGAUCGUAUUGUACAUCCCGAGAACAAAUAACACGCCGAUUUUCGUAAUAAUUGAUCGCUCACCUGCUGAACUAACGAGCCUGACAAUUAACCAUUUUCGUCUACCACUUCGGCCAAUUUCGUAUUGUCGGUAAUAAACAUACUUCACGGACUAUGUAGUUUAGAGGGCAGUGUCGGGCGUGGCGCUGCUGUGUUAAAUAAAAGGGUUACUCCGUC
Molecule: long non-coding RNA, 908 nt
Filed under: Polistes fuscatus (common paper wasp)
Lineage: Eukaryota; Metazoa; Arthropoda; Insecta; Hymenoptera; Vespidae
Description: uncharacterized LOC122517000
Source: RNAcentral